This 219-nucleotide long non-coding RNA is filed under the name Mytilus galloprovincialis (Mediterranean mussel). The record is from RNAcentral. Lineage: Eukaryota; Metazoa; Mollusca; Bivalvia; Mytilida; Mytilidae.
GUGUAGUAAACUCGUUUCGUUGGGGAUGAGAGUGUAUAGACCUUCUCAUUUUGGCGUGAUCUGGCAAGAUGACAGGUGGGUCAUGACCCUAUAAUUCUACGUUAGACCAUAUGCUAAAAUAUUCUACUGUGGUACCACAGGGAAGUUGUGUUUUUUAUAAACGGCUUUCUCUUGUUUACCAGAGCGGCCGGUUCAUCACUGUUACCAGUUUUGAAUUUU